UGGAGCACACUCAUCCCAUCGUCUUGGCUGCUUCCUGCAGUGGCCGGGAGUCCUCUUUCUUGAGGGCCUUCUGUGGUGCUGUCCUGGCUGCCUCUGUGUCCGUUGGGGAGGAGCCGGAAGUCACACGGUGCCAGGUGUGUUGACCAGGGAGGAUGAGGACGCAGUGUCCUGUAAAUUUUACAGCCUUCUCGCUGUAGGAUGACAGGUGGCAGCAGCAGUCACCUCGUGGCGGCACAGUGAGCCCAGACGGGGUGGCGUGGUCUGCGCAGAAACCAAGGCGGCCUGGCUGCUUCCUUGACUGGCAUCUCCAUCUGUGACAUGAGGGGAGAGGACUUAUCCAACGCUGCCCCACCUCCCUGGCCCCCUAAAAGCCUGACAAGGUCAUGUUUUCACUCUGUUACCGGGGAGGGGUGUUUCUGUUCCCCAUGCUGGUGGCGGAGGCCGAGUGGUACAUACUCCUGGUGCCUUUCCCAGGUUCCAGGCUCCUGGGGUUUGGCUGUGUCAACCAGGCUAGUUGGUCUGGAACAGGGUCUUACAGCCAGGGACCUGGCCGAAGCAAGGAGAAGCAGUGAGCCGUGAUCCUGCAGGCAAGAGGGUGCUGGAGACCAUGCCAGGCUCUCAGGUCAGUCUCAGGGAGCACGGAGCUCGAUCCUUCCCCCAUCACCACCACCAAGCCAGCUUGGACCAGAUACAGAAAGCUGACACUGCCCACUUCUCUGUGGACGCCACUCGCCACCAGCUCCCCAUCAUGGCACCUGCCGGCUCAGUGGACAUGAUUCUGCCUGGUGCCUCCAGGGCUCUCCCCACCCACCCAAAGAGUCCAACUCUGCACACAUAAAGACCAAGAGAAUGAAGAAAUUCCCUGGAGAGUGCUGAGUGCUCCGUGCCAUGCUCUGUGACCUUCCCAAUGGCUCCAGACACUGCCCUGCGUGUCCCGAGCCCUGGGACUGGCCAGCUUGACGUCUUUCCCCUCUGCUGACAUUUCCCACCAGCCCCCCAGUACUAAGGCUGUUGACCUGCAAGCCCUCCCUGCACACAGAGAGGAGGAAGGUCUCCUCAGUCCAUGCCACUGCUCCACAGCUCGGCUGGUUACCCCACAGUAGGAUGAAAGCCACACUUGGCUGGGGAGCUAGUUCCUGAACCUGACCUUUAACUCAGCAGUCUCUGAACAAAACCCCAUUGUUGUCUGAAAAGUCACCUGGAAGCCACAGAGCCUCCGAGUUCAUGCCCAGCUGCAGAGGAGAAAGACAUGGGGACUGCAUCCGGCCAUCCAGACCCGAGGUGCAUGGACUCCGUCGACAGCCCGAGCAAGGGGAGGGGACAGGGACGCCACGGUGGGGAGGACGCAUCCUGGGCCCGGGUGAUGGGAGCAGAGUCCUCCUGAGAGGGGCAGAGCUUGGGGAUGACACAUCCUCUCCAUGGGUGAGACUCCCAGCACCUCUGUUUCCCCGCACGCUGGGGCUGACGGGUCCCCGGUGUGUGGCUGAUGUGGGAGUGACAGAGCCCGGCCCUGAGGUACAGGAUGGUUAAUCAGGGCCCUGGCUCCCAUCCUGAGCUGCCCUCUGCCCGGCUGCUUCUCACUGUCUUACCCUCCGGGUCACCCCACAGACCUGCGAGUGGCCGCUCCCAGCAGUGUCACCCACCCUAGCACAUGCAUCCCGGUGGCCCAGUCUGCCCCUUUACGCCUCUUCAUCUCCGAGAGGCUGCCUUUUCCUUGCCAUCUGUAGCCCAGUUAGACACAUGGAUCCCAGAGGCACAGACAGGUGCCCACGUAAUGUGGCAGCAAGUAGGACACAAUUUGCCUUGGGCUUCAGGGGGCCAAAGGGCUGGUGCCAGGGUCGCAGAGCUCCAGCCACCCUAGUCUGAGACCAUGGAUGUCCGUGGCUGCAGUCUCUGGGCCCACGGCAAAGCACCACCCCAACCAAGAUGAAGAGGGCAGGAUGGACAGCAGCCCCCCGGGGACCCCACAGGGCUGACAUCAUUAGCAGAAACAGAAUAGUAAAAGCCUAUAAAAGCCCCUGAUUUAGGAACAGUAUAAACCAAGUAAAUUGA
Long non-coding RNA from Cavia porcellus (domestic guinea pig), 2052 nucleotides. RefSeq lists it as uncharacterized. The transcript has 3 exons. Lineage: Eukaryota; Metazoa; Chordata; Mammalia; Rodentia; Caviidae. The record is from RefSeq and is a predicted model, not a curated record.